This 260-nucleotide ribosomal RNA is filed under the name uncultured bacterium. RNAcentral describes it as "partial 16S ribosomal RNA". It matches the Rfam family "Bacterial small subunit ribosomal RNA", at positions 524 to 784 of the family's 1533-position model. The record is from RNAcentral.
UACGUAGGGUGCGAGCGUUAAUCGGAAUUACUGGGCGUAAAGCGUGCGCAGGCGGUUUGGUAAGACAGGCGUGAAAUCCCCGGGCUCAACCCGGGAACUGCGCUUGUGACUGCCUCACUAGAGUACGGCAGAGGGGGGUGGAAUUCCGCGUGUAGCAGUGAAAUGCGUAGAUAUGUGGAGGAAUACCGAUGGCGAAGGCAGCCCCUGGGAUAACACUGACGCUCAUGCACGAAAGCGUGGGGAGCAAACAGGAUUAGAAA